This 169-nucleotide ribosomal RNA is filed under the name Apogonichthyoides niger. RNAcentral describes it as "partial 12S rRNA". Lineage: Eukaryota; Metazoa; Chordata; Actinopteri; Kurtiformes; Apogonidae. The record is from RNAcentral.
UACCGCGGUUAAACGAGUGGCUCAAGCUGCCAGUUCCCGGCGUAAAGGGUGGUUAAUGACUAUAAAAACUAAAGCCGAACGCCUUUGAUGCCGUCAAAAGCACCGUGAAGGUAUGAAGCCCACCCACGAAAGUGGCUUUACAAACCAUGAAUCCACGAAAACUAGGGAA